RNAcentral lists this ribosomal RNA (1202 nucleotides) under Alteromonas sp. MR32d. Its description in RNAcentral is "bacterial SSU rRNA". It matches the Rfam family "Bacterial small subunit ribosomal RNA", at positions 70 to 1269 of the family's 1533-position model. The record is from RNAcentral. Lineage: Bacteria; Pseudomonadati; Pseudomonadota; Gammaproteobacteria; Alteromonadales; Alteromonadaceae.
UAACAUUUCUAGCUUGCUAGAAGAUGACGAGUGGCGGACGGGUGAGUAAUGCUUGGGAACUUGCCUUUGCGAGGGGGAUAACAGUUGGAAACGACUGCUAAUACCGCAUAAUGUCUNCGGACCAAACGGGGCUUCGGCUCCGGCGCAAAGAGAGGCCCAAGUGAGAUUAGCUAGUUGGUAAGGUAACGGCUUACCAAGGCGACGAUCUCUAGCUGUUCUGAGAGGAAGAUCAGCCACACUGGGACUGAGACACGGCCCAGACUCCUACGGGAGGCAGCAGUGGGGAAUAUUGCACAAUGGGGGAAACCCUGAUGCAGCCAUGCCGCGUGUGUGAAGAAGGCCUUCGGGUUGUAAAGCACUUUCAGUUGUGAGGAAAAGUUAGUAGUUAAUACCUGCUAGCCGUGACGUUAACAACAGAAGAAGCACCGGCUAACUCCGUGCCAGCAGCCGCGGUAAUACGGAGGGUGCGAGCGUUAAUCGGAAUUACUGGGCGUAAAGCGCACGCAGGCGGUUUGUUAAGCUAKAUGUGAAAGCCCCGGGCUCAACCUGGGAUGGUCAUUUAAAACUGGCAGACUAGAGUCUUGGAGAGGGGAGUGGAAUUCCAGGUGUAGCGGUGAAAUGCGUAGAUAUCUGGAGGAACAUCAGUGGCGAAGGCGACUCCCUGGCCAUAAGACUGACGCUCAUGUGCGAAAGUGUGGGUAGCGAACAGGAUUAGAUACCCUGGUAGUCCACACCGUAAACGCUGUCUACUAGCUGUGUGUGCCUUUAAGGCGUGCGUAGCGAAGCUGACGCGCUAAGUAGACCGCCUGGGGAGUACGGCCGCAAGGUUAAAACUCAAAUGAAUUGACGGGGGCCCGCACAAGCGGUGGAGCAUGGUGGUUAAAUUCGAUGCAACGCGAAGAACCUUACCUACACUUGACUUGCUGAGAAGUUACUAGAGAUAGUUUCGUGCCUUCGGGAACUCAGACACAGGUGCUGCAUGGCUGUCGUCAGCUCGUGUCGUGAGAUGUUGGGUUAAGUCCCGCAACGAGCGCAACCCUUGUCCUUAGUUGCCAGCCUUAAGUUGGGCACUCUAAGGAGACUGCCGGUGACAAACCGGGGGAAGGUGGGGACGACGUCAAGUCAUCAUGGCCCUUACGUGUAGGGCUACACACGUGCUACAAUGGCAUUUACAGAGGGAAGCGAGACAGUGAUGUGGAGCG